Molecule: non-coding RNA, 73 nt
Organism: Cynocephalus volans (Philippine flying lemur)
Lineage: Eukaryota; Metazoa; Chordata; Mammalia; Dermoptera; Cynocephalidae
Source: the annotation of a RefSeq genome assembly
GGCCGGUUAGCUCACUUGGGAGAGCGUGGUGCUGACAACACCAAGUCAAGGGUUCAGAUCCCCUUACUGGUCA